ACGAACGCUGGCGGCAUGCCUAACACAUGCAAGUCGAACGAGACCUUCGGGUCUAGUGGCGCACGGGUGCGUAACGCGUGGGAACCUGCCCUUAGGUUCGGAAUAACUCCCCGAAAGGGGUGCUAAUACCGGAUAAUGUCUUCGGACCAAAGAUUUAUCGCCUUUGGAUGGGCCCGCGUUGGAUUAGCUAGUUGGUAGGGUAAAAGCCUACCAAGGCGACGAUCCAUAGCUGGUCUGAGAGGAUGAUCAGCCACACUGGGACUGAGACACGGCCCAGACUCCUACGGGAGGCAGCAGUGGGGAAUAUUGGACAAUGGGCGAAAGCCUGAUCCAGCAAUGCCGCGUGAGUGGUGAAGGCCUUAGGGUUGUAAAGCUCUUUUACCCGGGAUGAUAAUGACAGUACCGGGAGAAUAAGCGCCGGCUAACUCCGUG
Molecule: ribosomal RNA, 432 nt
Filed under: uncultured bacterium
Lineage: Bacteria
Description: partial 16S ribosomal RNA
Rfam family: Bacterial small subunit ribosomal RNA
Source: RNAcentral